CUCCUUGCCGACAUAGUAGUAGGAAACCGUGUGGCACAUUUCGACCGUGCCAUUCGAAGUCGCAUCAAGCGCCUGCAAGCCGGGAACGACUUCGCCGGCGGCGAAUACCUGAAUCUGGAACUUGUUGUCGGUCAUUUCGGCGACGUACUUCGAGAGCUGCUCGGCGCCGCCGUAGAUGGUGUCGAGCGACUUCGGGAAGCUGGACGCCAGGCGCCACUUAACUUCAGGCGACGACUGCGCGAUGGCCGGCGAAGCGACCGCAGUGGCGGGGGNAGCAGUUACUUUCAAAAAAUCACGACGCUUCAUUAGGCAUCUCCUUUUGGGGGUGUUUCUU
Molecule: unclassified non-coding RNA, 334 nt
Filed under: Hevea brasiliensis (rubber tree)
Lineage: Eukaryota; Viridiplantae; Streptophyta; Magnoliopsida; Malpighiales; Euphorbiaceae
Source: RNAcentral